RNAcentral lists this ribosomal RNA (393 nucleotides) under uncultured bacterium. Its description in RNAcentral is "partial 16S ribosomal RNA". It matches the Rfam family "Bacterial small subunit ribosomal RNA", at positions 523 to 918 of the family's 1533-position model. The record is from RNAcentral.
AUACGGAGGAUGCGAGCGUUAUCCGGAUUUAUUGGGUUUAAAGGGAGCGUAGGUGGGAUAUUAAGUCAGCUGUGAAAGUUUGGGGCUCAACCUUAAAAUUGCAGUUGAUACUGGUUUCCUUGAGUACGGUACAGGUGGGCGGAAUUCGUGGUGUAGCGGUGAAAUGCUUAGAUAUCACGAAGAACUCCGAUUGCGAAGGCAGCCUGCUGGACUGUAACUGACGCUGAUGCUCGAAAGUGUGGGUAUCAAACAGGAUUAGAUACCCUAGUAGUCCACACAGUAAACGAUGAAUACUCGCUGUUUGCGAUAUACAGUAAGCGGCCAAGCGAAAGCGUUAAGUAUUCCACCUGGGGAGUACGCCGGCAACGGUGAAACUCAAAGGAAUUGACGGGG